GAUGAACGCUGGCGGCAUGGCUAAGGCAUGCAAGUCGAAUGGGUUUAGACCCAUGGCAAACGGGAGAGUAACACAUUGGUAAUCUGCCCCGAAGACGAGGAUAACCCGGAGAAAUCUGGAAUAAUACUCGAUAAAAGUGGGGGGACAAAAGUCGUUCCCACUUAAAGCUCCGACGCUUCGGGAGGAGCCUAUGGCUUAUCAGCUUGUUGGUGAGGUAAAAGCUCACCAAGGCAAUGACGAGUAGCGGGUGUGAGAGCAUGGCCCGUCUCACUGGGACUGAGACACUGCCCAGACUCCUACGGGAGGCUGCAGUCACGAAUCUUCCACAAUGGCCGAAAGGCUGAUGGAGCAAUGCCGCGUGUAUGAAGACGCCCUUCGGGGUGUAAAAUACUUUUAUCUGGGACGAAUCAAUGACGGUACCAGAUGAAUAAGGGGCUGCUAACCUCG
RNAcentral lists this ribosomal RNA (447 nucleotides) under uncultured bacterium. RNAcentral's name for it is "bacterial SSU rRNA". It matches the Rfam family "Bacterial small subunit ribosomal RNA", at positions 28 to 505 of the family's 1533-position model. The record is from RNAcentral.